UACGUAGGGGGCUAGCGUUGUCCGGAAUCAUUGGGCGUAAAGCGCGUGUAGGCGGCCCGGUAAGUCCGCUGUGAAAGUCCAGGGCUCAACCCUGGAAUGCCGGUGGAUACUGUCGGGCUAGAGUCCGGAAGGGGCGAGUGGAAUUCCCAGUGUAGCGGUGAAAUGCGUAGAUAUUGGGAGGAACACCAGUGGCGAAGGCGGCUCACUGGACCGGUACUGACGCUGAUGCGCGAAAGCGUGGGGAGCAAACAGG
This 253-nucleotide ribosomal RNA is filed under the name uncultured bacterium. RNAcentral's name for it is "partial 16S ribosomal RNA". It matches the Rfam family "Bacterial small subunit ribosomal RNA", at positions 524 to 776 of the family's 1533-position model. The record is from RNAcentral.